This 253-nucleotide ribosomal RNA is filed under the name Pseudocoprococcus catus. RNAcentral describes it as "Coprococcus catus partial 16S ribosomal RNA". It matches the Rfam family "Bacterial small subunit ribosomal RNA", at positions 524 to 776 of the family's 1533-position model. Lineage: Bacteria; Bacillati; Bacillota; Clostridia; Lachnospirales; Lachnospiraceae. The record is from RNAcentral.
UACGUAGGGGGCAAGCGUUAUCCGGAUUUACUGGGUGUAAAGGGAGCGUAGGCGGCGGAGCAAGUCAGAAGUGAAAGCCCGGGGCUCAACCCCGGGACGGCUUUUGAAACUGCCCUGCUUGAUUUCAGGAGAGGUAAGCGGAAUUCCUAGUGUAGCGGUGAAAUGCGUAGAUAUUAGGAGGAACACCAGUGGCGAAGGCAGCUUACUGGACUGACAAUGACGCUGAGGCUCGAAAGCGUGGGGAGCAAACAGG